CUACAACCAUUGAGGGAGCAAAGUAAUUAAGGUUUUCAUGGUAAGAGAGGAAAUGUCGUGGCUGUAAACAUUUCUCCAUGUGCUUAAUGAAUGAACACUCCUUAGGUUUUUCCUUGAAUCUUGGUAGGGGAAAACGUCAACAGGCGUUAACUGUUUAAAGUGGGACCUUUAUUAAUAUAUAAAAGUCCAAUUAGGGUGGCACCACGGGAUUUAACUCUCGUCCCUGGU
Molecule: non-coding RNA, 228 nt
Filed under: Anaerobacillus alkalilacustris
Lineage: Bacteria; Bacillati; Bacillota; Bacilli; Caryophanales; Bacillaceae
Description: T-box sequence
Rfam family: T-box leader
About the family: Uncharged tRNA acts as the effector for transcription antitermination of genes in the T-box leader family.
Source: RNAcentral